This 496-nucleotide ribosomal RNA is filed under the name uncultured soil bacterium. RNAcentral describes it as "bacterial SSU rRNA". It matches the Rfam family "Bacterial small subunit ribosomal RNA", at positions 26 to 518 of the family's 1533-position model. The record is from RNAcentral.
AGAUUGAACGCUGGCGGCAUGCUUUACACAUGCAAGUCGAGCGGCAGCGCGGGGGCAACCCUGGCGGCGAGCGGCGAACGGGUGAGGAAUACAUCGGAACGUACCCCGGAGUGGGGGAUAACGCCGCGAAAGCGGCGCUAAUACCGCAUAUGCUCUGAGGAGGAAAGUGGGGGGACUCGCAAGGGCCUCACGCUCUGGGAGCGGCCGAUGUCCGAUUAGCUAGUUGGUGGGUAAAGGCCCACCAAGGCGACGAUCGGUAGCUGGUCUGAGAGGAUGAUCAGCCACACUGGGACUGAGACACGGCCCAGACUCCUACGGGAGGCAGCAGUGGGGAAUUUUGGACAAGUGGGGGCAACCCUGAUCCAGCCAUGCCGCGUGCGGGAAGAGGCCUUGGUUGUAACCGCGUUUAGUCGGAAGAAAAGGUUAUCCGUAACAGGAUGACUGUUGACGGUACCGGCGGAAGUAAGCACCGGCUAACGUACGUGCCAGCAGCCGC